Molecule: long non-coding RNA, 486 nt
Organism: Passer domesticus (house sparrow)
Lineage: Eukaryota; Metazoa; Chordata; Aves; Passeriformes; Passeridae
Exons: 3
Source: RefSeq, a predicted model, not a curated record
UUUGCACACUCUUCACUCUGCUCCUGCCCACUCUGCUUGUCACCUGCCCCCUGAUAACCCCAUCACUCCUCAAAGAUCCUUAGUGCCUGGAUUUUGUCAUCCAGCCCUGCAGGAUGCUCCCAUUUGUUCUGAGGAAGGCUGUCCCAGACAGAGAGGAGGAGAUGGAGGUAGAUGCAAAGAUUGAUAUGGAGGAGGAGAUGGAGGUGGAUGUGGAUGAGGAGGAAGAGAUGGACGUUGAUAUGGACGAGUCCAUUGAGGACAUGGAUAUUGAUUAAAAAGGUGCGAUGGAGAUCACAGAGACACCACCCUUUUGUAUAUAUGUUCUACAGUUUGUUGUUUUUCUUUAGAAUAUAGAGUUUAGGGCAAUUUUUGACUUCUGUAAAUACGUUUCCCAUAGUUUUGCUAGGUAGGUUUUUCUGUAUAUAUGUUCUAUCGAUUGUUGUUAUUACAAAUAUUCUUACAAUGUAAAUAUCUUCUGUAUUUUUG